Molecule: antisense RNA, 153 nt
Filed under: Serratia quinivorans
Lineage: Bacteria; Pseudomonadati; Pseudomonadota; Gammaproteobacteria; Enterobacterales; Yersiniaceae
Also listed under: 1 other name
Description: sok antitoxin (CssrC)
Rfam family: sok antitoxin (CssrC)
About the family: Also identified in Shigella as CssrC.
Source: RNAcentral
GGGCGCUUGAAGCUUUCUGCUUCAGGCCCUGGGUGGGAAGCAGAAAGAAGAAAGCCCCAAACUGACUCUUAAUCAGAAUGAGGCUUCACCAUACUGCAUCAACACCAGCAUGGUAGCCUCUUAACCGCAGAAAUGCAACGGAGGGCUGACAUG